Molecule: ribosomal RNA, 565 nt
Filed under: uncultured bacterium
Lineage: Bacteria
Description: bacterial SSU rRNA
Rfam family: Bacterial small subunit ribosomal RNA
Source: RNAcentral
CGAGCAUUUUGAAUGAAGUUUUCGGAUGGAUUUUGAGAUGACUGAGUGGCGGACGGGUGAGUAACACGUGGAUAACCUGCCUCACACUGGGGGACAACAGUUAGAAAUGACUGCUAAUACCGCAUAAGCGCACAGUACCGCAUGGUACAGUGUGAAAAACUCCGGUGGUGUGAGAUGGAUCCGCGUCUGAUUAGCCAGUUGGCGGGGUAACGGCCCACCAAAGCGACGAUCAGUAGCCGACCUGAGAGGGUGACCGGCCACAUUGGGACUGAGACACGGCCCAAACUCCUACGGGAGGCAGCAGUGGGGAAUAUUGCACAAUGGGCGAAAGCCUGAUGCAGCGACGCCGCGUGAGUGAAGAAGUAUUUCGGUAUGUAAAGCUCUAUCAGCAGGGAAGAUAAUGACGGUACCUGACUAAGAAGCCCCGGCUAACUACGUGCCAGCAGCCGCGGUAAUACGUAGGGGGCAAGCGUUAUCCGGAUUUACUGGGUGUAAAGGGAGCGUAGACGGCAUGGCAAGUCUGAAGUGAAAACCCAGGGCUCAACCCUGGGACUGCUUUGGAAAC